This 1903-nucleotide long non-coding RNA is filed under the name Homo sapiens (human). RNAcentral describes it as "non-protein coding lnc-HMGB2-3:8". The record is from RNAcentral. Lineage: Eukaryota; Metazoa; Chordata; Mammalia; Primates; Hominidae.
AACCGCCCCUCCCUCGCCCAGGGACGCGAGGGGGACCGGCGGUCCGGGCGAGGCCUCGGCCGCGCAUCGCACCCCGGCUCCCCGCCGCCGGAGUUGAGGGGGAGGCGCGCUCUCCGUAAGAGCCGGAGGCGGGGCGCCAUCGCCCUCCCACUCCCCGGCGGGCGGGCCGGGGGAGCCCGGGGCUGCGAACACCCCCAGACGGGCGGCUGCGGGAGGGGAGGCUGGACCAAGGGGCCUGGUCCACCGGACCAGCGGUGGCGGCAUCGGCAUCUCGCCUCCUUCAGGCCUGCACGCGCCACAGGCCGCAGCCUGGACCAACCCCGCGUCCCCGGGCCGUGAGCGCUGCGGUCCCGGCCCCCCAGAGCGGGACGCCGGGCGGCCGCAGCCCCCCGGACCCGGCUCUCCGCCCGCUCCGCCCGCAGUCCCGGCGCGGAGAGCGGCCGCCCGAGCCGCUGCCGCGGCAGCGCGGGUGUCGGCGACGGAGCCCGGGGCGGGGAAGAGCGGAGGAAGGGGCGGCGAGGGGGCGGGCCGGCGGCGGCCAGGGAGGUCGGAGUGCGCGGGGCUCGGCACCCCCUCGGCCCGCGCUGCGCCAGCACCACCUGCGGAGCUGCGGUGCCCACGCCGUGCCGCGACCCCGCCGCCCCUGCUCCCUCCACACGCGGGCAAACAAAACAAGUUGCCGGUCGCUGCCGCCGGAGGGGGCCGGGCGGGUCACUCACCCUCAUCCUGCUCAGCGGGCUUGGGUCGUCCGGCCGCGGGGUCAGGGAAGACCAGAGGACCACUAGCCCCAGGAAGCUUCCCACCACCAGCAAACUGCGUAAGAUGAACCCAAUCUUCAGCCUCAUCUUCCUCCGGCGGCGAGAGACUCACAGCCCGGCGCAGCCGCCGCCACCGCUCUCCCCUCCCUCCUUCCCCCUCCUCCGGCUCUCCUCCCCCUCUUUCCCCCACCCCUACCGCUACGGCUGCCGCCCUCUCCGCUGCCUGCCCUUUCCAGCUCCAGAUCCGGAACUCCCCUCGGCUACACCUUUCCCCGGGCUCUUCCCUCCGCUCCUCCCCGUGGCCCCCUCCCCUCUGGCGGCCACCGCAGAGCUCCGACUGACCCGUGUGCCUCGCUCUGCCAGGCUGCCUUCCUCUCUACCUGCCCCCUUCCAGAUCCGCAGUCCCCUGCUCUCCACGCGAGCCCCCUUCACAGUCCCUGCUACCUUGUAACUAACUUGCACUUUUCCCGAGUCCGGUUCUUAGCCUUUGCCCUGCAGCUCAGCUCCUUAAAGCUUUCAGAUCCCCAAACUUUUAUUGUAAUUAUGGACAAUAACUCCGUCCUUAACGCCUGUGCCCUCCGGGAUCCCGUGGCCCGCCGCCCCCUCCGUUGGACCUGGAGUCGCUCUCGUCUGCACCUCUCCCUUAGACCCACUUCCCUGAGCCCCUUGUCGAGAGGCUUUCAGGAAGCCAACCAGGAAGUGGGACUACCGCUGCUGCUGCAGCAGCUCCACGUGGCUGAUUUAUAGCUGAAGGGUUUUUUUUUUUCCUUCUUAUUGAUUGUUCUUGCUUUUUCACACGGCUCCUUAAGGUGGUGAAUUUGUAACCGAAAGGCCCAGGUGAGAUGUGCAAAUAUCACUGGAUUGGAGGAGCUCACUUGGAAAGCCAGUAUUCCUCCUGAGCUAAUGAAAAGAAAGGCUGUCGUCUUAUGCCAAAAGCAAUACCAACCUUGUUCACGGGCUGGUAAGUUUCAAAUCCAAGGACCACGGAUUUCAACUCCACCCUCAUUGCGUCCCUCAGAUCUGAUAUUUGCCACUUGAUUUCUGCUUUUCAAACGCCUUUUCUGCCUGUGUUACCUAAAUUACACAGUAAAGGAUAUUGGCAAGUGUUUAGCCAAAUGCCCCACCCUGAGGAAAUAAUUUUUCUG